UGAGUACGAGCUGCUACGGCAGCGAAGUGGGUGAUGUCAAGCUUCCAAGAAAAGCCCUAUACCCGUUAAGGCAUGACGGCCUGUACCCGAAACCGACACAGGUGGGGUGGUAGAGAAUACCGAGGGGCGCGAGAUAACUCUCUCUAAGGAACUCGGCAAAAUGGCCCCGUAACUUCGGGAGAAGGGGUGCCACCGCAAGGUGGUCGCAGUGAAGAGGCCCAGGCGACUGUUUACCAAAAACACAGGUCUCCGCUAAGUCGCAAGACGAUGUAUGGGGGCUGACGCCUGCCCAGUGCCGGAAGGUUAAGGAAGCUGGUCAGCGCAAGCGAAGCUAGCGACUGAAGCCCCGGUGAACGGCGGCCGUAACUAUAACGGUCCUAAGGUAGCGAAAUUCCUUGUCGGGUAAGUUCCGACCCGCACGAAAGGCGUAACGAUCUGGGCGCUGUCUCGGAGAGAGGCUCGGCGAAAUAGAAUUGUCUGUGAAGAUGCGGACUACGUGCACCCGGACAGAAAGACCCUAUGAAGCUUUACUGUAGCUUGGUAUUGUGCCCGGGCUCUGAAUGCGCAGGAUAGGUGGGAGGCUUUGAUCCAUUGCUUGUGGGUAAUGGUGAGCCACUGGUGAGAUACCACUCUUUCAGAGCUAGGGUUCUAACGGUCACCCGUUAUCCGGGGACCGGACAGUAUCAGGUGGGCAGUUUGACAGGGGCGGUCGCCUCCUAAAAGGUAACGGAGGCGCGCAAAGGUUCCCUCAGGCUGGUUGGAAAUCAGCCGACGAGUGUAAAGGCAGAAGGGGGCUUGACUGCGAGACCUACAAGUCGAACAGGGACGAAAGUCGGCCUUAGUGAUCCGACGGUUCUGAGUGGAAGGGCCGUCGCUCAACGGAUAAAAGUUACUCUAGGAUAACAGGCUGAUCUCCCCCAAGAGUUCACAUCGACGGGGAGGUUUGGCACCUCGAUGUCGGCUCAUCGCAACCUGGGGCUGAAGUCGGUCCCAAGGGUUGGGCUGUUCGCCCAUUAAAGCGGUACGCGAGCUGGGUUCAGAACGUCGUGAGACAGUUCGGUCCAUAUCCGGCGCACGCGCAGGAACAUUGAGAGGAUUUCUCCCUAGUACGAGAGGACCGGGAGGAACGCACCUCUGGUGUACCAGUUAUCGUGCCAACGGUAAACGCUGGGUAGCCAUGUGCGGAGCGGAUAACUGCUGAAAGCAUCUAAGUGGGAAGCCCACCUCAAGAUGAGUGUUCCCAUGGCAUAAGCCAGUAAGGUCACGGGAAGAACACCCGUUGAUAGGCUCUACGUGGAAGCGUGGCAACACGUGAAGCGGAGGAGUACUAAUAGACCGAGGGCUUGACC
Molecule: ribosomal RNA, 1349 nt
Filed under: metagenome
Description: bacterial LSU rRNA
Rfam family: Bacterial large subunit ribosomal RNA
Source: RNAcentral